RNAcentral lists this ribosomal RNA (496 nucleotides) under uncultured bacterium. Its description in RNAcentral is "bacterial SSU rRNA". It matches the Rfam family "Bacterial small subunit ribosomal RNA", at positions 30 to 518 of the family's 1533-position model. The record is from RNAcentral.
AUUGAACGCUGGCGGAAUGCUUUACACAUGCAAGUCGAACGGCAGCACGGGGGCAACCCUGGUGGCGAGUGGCGAACGGGUGAGUAAUACAUCGGAACGUGCCCAGUCGUGGGGGAUAACUACGCGAAAGCGUAGCUAAUACCGCAUACGAUCUACGGAUGAAAGCGGGGGAUCGCAAGACCUCGCGCGAUUGGAGCGGCCGAUGGCAGAUUAGGUAGUUGGUGGGGUAAAGGCUCACCAAGCCUUCGAUCUGUAGCUGGUCUGAGAGGACGACCAGCCACACUGGGACUGAGACACGGCCCAGACUCCUACGGGAGGCAGCAGUGGGGAAUUUUGGACAAUGGGCGCAAGCCUGAUCCAGCCAUUCCGCGUGCAGGAUGAAGGCCCUCGGGUUGUAAACUGCUUUUGUACGGAACGAAACGCGCUGAGCUAAUACCUCGGCGUAAUGACGGUACCGUAAGAAUAAGCACCGGCUAACUACGUGCCAGCAGCCGAC